CACCACUCAAGCCUGGCUUGGUAUUGGGCGGCGGGGAUCCCCCGCGCCCCUAAUUCAUCGGCUGGACGGUUCGAAUCUCAGCGUUGUGGUUUACUCAAAUCGCUGGCGAAGACGACCGGACGCGCCGUUAAAAUUCAUUACA
Molecule: unclassified non-coding RNA, 142 nt
Filed under: uncultured Capnobotryella
Lineage: Eukaryota; Fungi; Ascomycota
Description: sequence contains ITS2
Source: RNAcentral